GCGGCGCUGGCUGGCUCCCUGGCUGCGAGUCCUCAGUCGGCGGCGGCUGCUGCUGCCUGUGGCCCGGGCGGCUGGGAGAAGCGGAGUGUUGGUGAGUGACGCGGCGGAGGUGUAGUUUGACGCGGUGUGUUACGUGGGGGAGAGAAUAAAACUCCAGCGAGAUCCGGGCCGCGAACGAAAGCAGUGACGGAGGAGCUUGUACCACCGGUAACUAAAUGACCAUGGAAUCUGGAGCAGAGAACCAGCAGAGUGGAGAUGCAGCUGUAACAGAAGCUGAAAGCCAGCAAAUGACAGUUCAAGCCCAGCCACAGAUUGCCACAUUAGCCCAGGUGUCCAUGCCAGCAGCUCAUGCAACAUCAUCUGCUCCCACCGUAACUUUAGUGCAGCUGCCCAAUGGGCAGACAGUUCAAGUCCAUGGAGUUAUUCAGGCGGCCCAGCCAUCAGUUAUUCAGUCUCCACAAGUCCAGACAGUUCAGUCUUCCUGUAAGGACUUAAAAAGACUUUUCUCCGGAACUCAGAUUUCAACUAUUGCAGAAAGUGAAGAUUCACAGGAGUCAGUGGAUAGUGUAACCGAUUCCCAAAAACGAAGAGAAAUUCUUUCAAGGAGGCCUUCCUACAGGAAAAUUUUGAAUGACUUAUCUUCUGAUGCACCAGGAGUGCCAAGGAUUGAAGAAGAGAAGUCUGAAGAGGAGACUUCAGCACCUGCCAUCACCACUGUAACGGUGCCAACUCCGAUUUACCAAACUAGCAGUGGACAGUAUAUUGCCAUUACCCAGGGAGGAGCAAUACAGCUGGCUAACAAUGGUACCGAUGGGGUACAGGGCCUGCAGACGUUAACCAUGACCAAUGCAGCUGCCACUCAGCCGGGUACUACCAUCCUGCAGUAUGCACAGACCACUGAUGGACAGCAGAUCUUAGUGCCCAGCAACCAAGUUGUUGUUCAAGCUGCCUCUGGAGAUGUACAGACAUACCAGAUUCGCACAGCACCCACUAGCACCAUUGCCCCUGGAGUUGUUAUGGCGUCCUCCCCAGCACUUCCUACACAGCCUGCUGAAGAAGCAGCACGAAAGAGAGAGGUUCGCCUCAUGAAGAACAGGGAAGCAGCACGAGAAUGUCGUAGAAAGAAGAAAGAAUAUGUGAAAUGUCUAGAAAACAGAGUGGCAGUGCUUGAAAACCAAAACAAGACACUGAUUGAGGAGCUAAAAGCACUUAAGGACCUUUACUGCCACAAAUCAGAUUAAUUUGGGAUUUAAAUUUUCACCUAUUAUGGUGGAAAAAGGACUGGCUUGGCCACAACCAGAAAGACGAAAUAAACAUUUAUUUUCUAAACAUUUCUUUUUUUCUAUGCGCAAAACUGCCUGAAAGCAACUACAGAAUUUCAUUCAUUUGUGCUUUCGCAUUAAACUGUGAAUGCUCCAACACCUGCCUCCACUUCUCCCCUCAAGAAAUUUUCAGCACCACGAAUCAUGAAGAGACUUCUGCUUUUUAUCCCCCGCCCUCUUCAAGAAGUAAUAAUUUGUUUACUUGUAAAUUGAUGGGGGAAAUGAGGAAAAGAAAAUCUUUUUUUAAAUGAUUUCAAGGUUUGUGCUGAGCUCCUUGAUUGCCUUAGGGACAGAAUUACCCCAGCCUCUUGAGCUGAAGUAAUGUGUGGGCCGCAUGCAUAAAGAUGAACAGAGUUUAUGAAGGAGCACCAUUCUAAGAAUUGAGUGAUGUAGUCUUAUAUCUGGACAGUUCACCAGAUUCUCAAGAAGGCUUUCAAACGACUGUAAAUUUUGUUGUUUAUCCUGCUGAGCUAAUGGGGAAAGUUAUAGUGUAAAAAUUAUUUGUAUACCUGCAUAGAUGUGUCAGUUUUCCAAAACUGGUUUAAUAGAAACCAAGCAAAAUCACAAAUCAAUUCACAAACUAGAAGUCUUUCUUAAUGAGUCAGAAUGUCAGACGUGAACGUUUUAAAAGUCAUAAGCUUUAUAAAUGAAAAUUGCCUAGUAUUUAGCAAGUUAAAUGUUUUCAAAAGUUGAGGCUUUCUAUUUAAUUAGAAAGUUGGUGGUCCUCUUAGUCCCUGAUAAAUCAAGGCAAGUCACAUCCAUAUUAGCUGGCUGAAUUUAUAAGUUAUAAAAGACUGAUUGCACUGGUUUGAAGUCAGUUACUUAAUGGUGAGGUAAGAAAUGUAUUCUGUUGCUAAAUCUGUUUAGACCCUUGGAGAGACUUGAAGAUUUCAGUUUAUACAGAUAGAAAUUAAGCAUAUUUUGAGCAAACUUUUUUUUUAAGAGAAUUGGGAAAAAGGUGUUUGUUUUUAAGCAUGCAACUUUGAGAAUCUUUGUUAAGAAAACAUAAUUUUUAAAAAUCUUAUAGCCAAUAACAUGUGGCCACAUUAUAAAUGUUUUUUCUCUUCAUAUUGGCCAAAAGGGAAUAAAAAUGUCAUCAUAGGAAUCUGUACAUAUGCUACUGAUUUGCCUAGAAAAUAGCAAGUUUGGUAUUGCUCACUUUGCAAAUAUAGGGCCAUGUGGCACUUUUAUCUAUAGGACAGAUUAACUCUAAUAAAAAUGAAGUGGGAGGGGUUUAUUUUUUAUAUAUUGCUCUUAUGAGUUUUCAGGCUUUGAUAGUGUUUAACUGAAAAGUGGUUUAGAAAGGGCUAGAUCCAAUGUGUUCACAUUAUUAAAAAAAAUUGAUACCAGAUGUAAUUUUUAAGUUCAUUUUUCAAACUGAAGUACCAUAUUGGCAACCAUAAUAUUGUCAUAGGUGCUCUGUUCAUUUAGAUAUUCCUGGCGGGGGGGAAUGGCAUUUGUAUAUGUGUACAUAUAUAUAUAUAUACAUACAGUAUAUAAUCUGAAGCUCUGAGAGCUCUUAAGUCAGGAAUGCUGAGUACUAUAGUAUACUGAGGUCGGAUGAAAUUUUACAUUUUUGUGUAUUUUAUUGCAUCACUUUUGGUAGUUUCUUGGACUGAAUUACCCCAGCACUCAUGAUUGAUGCUUUUUAAUCUCCUGAUUUUCUUCUAAGUGUUUUUUUUUUAAUUGUCAGUUUUCUUUGGCUUGAUACUUUUAAAUCUGUUACUAGUCACUUGAACCACCACCACCACCCCCCAAAAAAGUAUUUGGUUUUUAUGCUUUGUCUCUGGCAGCUAUAACAGUGGUAAGAACAUUUUGAAGAUAGCUUCUCAAAGGUACCACUGAUUUUUCAAAAAUCAUCCUGGGGGAGAAUUUUUGGUGUUUUCAUUUGAGCAGGGAUUUUUGUCAGAAAAUGUAUCUUGAUGGUAAGUCAGCAGCAGUCCUAGUAUCUGAAAGCACAAUACCAGUCAGGCAGGCUGUCCGAUCAGAAGUCAUCUGGCUGAAGUUUAUCUCUGUCUCUCAGGCCUAAUCCCUGAUCCUUUUGACCAUUUGGGGUGACAUGUGGAAUCAUACAAAGGCUUAGGAAGAAACAAGUUUGUUUAAACCACGAUGCUUUUACUUACUUUAAGUGACUUCAAUCUAGAUUUCAUUUUUAAUGUUUUUAGUUCUGUGAUCAGCUGUAGUCAGCUAUCAGCAUAUAUUGGUCUCUUUAUUUUGAAGAUCAGAAGGCUGCUUCAUUUUGCAGGAUUUAAAAUAAGGCUAAUAUCUUAAAGUUAAGAUUUUGAAUUAAAGUGGGUUUUAGAGACAACUGUUACACACCUUUUCAGUUUUUUCAAGAGGCUUUAUUUGUUGCCUUUGUAACCCUGAGAACUGUUGGUAUAUUGUUUCCCAUUGACUUAAUACAAAAGUUGUAUAUUUAUUUGGAUUAUUUUUACAUUAUAUUCUUUGUAAAUGUUUGGUGUAACUUGCACUUUUAAAAAUGACCCUGUUUGGGUAUUAGCAAACUUGAGAAAUUCCCUCAUCAGUUAAUUGUCAUCUGACUUUUUAUGUCUUUCUCCUCUCUUCAAAUCAUGUGGCUUUUUUUAUGGAAGCUUUUUUCAUUGAUUAAAAUAUUUUAACACCUAAAGGCUAGCCUUAUAAACGCUGUAAAAGAAAAAUAUCAGGAAAUUAGAUUAGACUAGCCCAAUUAAUUAAAAGAUGGGUUCAAACCCUAUCUUACUCUCUUUCAUCAUGGACAGAUAGAAGGAAAAGCAACUCAAGUGAAUAAAUAUUUAUUUCCAAUUUUAAAUAAGACUGUCCUCACCCCAACAUUAAUACUGUUUAUAGGAUCCCAAGAUAUCCUUGAAUUUGUCUAGAACAGUAAAAGACUUCUCAAGGCAAUUAAUCAUUAUUAUCAUGGAGAACACAUAAUAAUUUGAUUAAAUUUUUUUCACUUUAAAUUGUCUUUGUUAACAUCAAAAAAUGCAUAAAUUUGACUGAUUUCAGAUGAGGAGGGGAAAAGUGAGGUAUGCUUAAGUAAGCCUGUAGGUGAAGAAUUGUGGUAUAAAUUUGUUCAGUCAGUUGUACAAAGCACAACUAGAACUUUUUGUUGGAUGUCUUACAUACAUCUUGAAUACUUCUAAUGUUGAUAUGUUGACUUUUUUAAGUUGACUGCACAGUCACUGUAUGUACUAGGAACUGGUUUCCUUAACUUUCUAGAAUCAACGGCUAAGAGAGGCACUAAUCCCUGAGGGGUCGAACAUAUCAUGAAGCUGAGUCAGUAUGGAAGAAUUUCAAAUAAAUCAAACAGGGUGCUGAAGUUCCAUCUGUCUCAUCUGCUUAUGAUAAGUUCUUAUUGAGGAGUGAAUGUAGCUUAAGCCUUUGUAUGUGUCCUCAGGGGGCAAACUUUUAAGAGGGACCAGAUAACGUUUGAAUGGAGGGAUUAUAUUUCAGGUGUUUUAGCUUGAAAUUUAUUUUUUAAAAAAAUUAAAAUAGGAAAAAAAAUAGAACAAAGCCUGUGAAGCAAUUUGAUAUUAUAAACAGGCUGAGUUGUUUAGCACAGAGAGAAAAUAUUGACCUGUCUGCAUUCUGGUACUGUGCAUACAGGUCCUAGCUGGGUAAAACACGAUACAUUUUGAGUUAUUCUCACCGGCAAGUAAAAGGAAAAUAAAUGAACAGUCUUCAGGAAAUGUCUUUGAAAGGGUCAUACAGUAGGAAAUUCAAAUUUUACCUACUUUAUAGAGGCAUUAUUUAAUACUUGCCUACAGAAGUAUGGCAUUUCUAAGCUCGUGUCUGAGGAGCAUCUCGGAGAUGUGAGAGUAAAUCUAAAGUAGUUUAAAAAUUGGUAGGGAAGGAAGACAAUCCCUGCAGAUAAUGAUCUUACGUUAGUUGGCCGAGUGAAAUGAUCUAUCAUUGUGUUUGGGAGGUUUUAUUUUCUUAUGUUUUUAAAAUUGAAUUGGUAUAUGCUUUAUAGACAUUGUAUUUUUAUCCAGGUGCCACUCCAAUUUGUGUAUGUAAUAAAAUUAUUUAUAUUAAAAGUGGGAAAUAAUUCGUCAACAUUUUUCUGUGAGUAUAGGUUAGGAUGGCAAAGAAGAGUGCUAGUUUGCAGUUUUCCAUGUAAAGUCCCCGACUGAUUUGUCACGUCAGCUGUCAUCCCCCCCAAGAAGAGGAAUUAUUUCUAACCUAGCUGUUAUCACUUGAAACUUUAGAAACAAAAUAAUCAGGGAAGUUUCUAGAGAGAAAGGUGUUUGUUUGGGUUUUUGAUUUUGGUUUUGUGGGUGGUUUUUUUUUUUUUUUGGUUUUUGCUUGAGGAUUGGGGUAAAGAAUACCUCCCCCCAAAACUAUCAGCACAAAACAGGGUAUUGAUUUUUAACUCUGAUGUUGCUAUUGGAGUUGAAUACUAAAUAAGUAAUUAUAGUGAGGGAAAUACAUUUCUAAUAAAAUUCCCUACAUUCUAGAAACAUCCCUGUUUUAAUUUUUUUACCUAAAUCUUUUUGUGCUUUAUCUGUGUAAAGAGAAAAAAAUGUACUGAGCUAUAAUGGAUUUUAUUAACACUAUGUACAUAUUAGCUGCUUUGUGUUCAGAAUGGUAGCAAUUGCUUUGUAUAUUAAAGUGAUCCUUGUGAAUUUGUGAAAUAUUGUCAUAAAGUGCUUUUUCUUACUGUAAUCUUUGUGGUAUCAACUGUCAUAAUGCCCUUUUUACACAAACAUUUAUGUGCAGUCACAUAAACGUGCUUUUAAAAACUCCAUAA
Molecule: RNA transcript, 6051 nt
Organism: Balaenoptera ricei (Rice's whale)
Lineage: Eukaryota; Metazoa; Chordata; Mammalia; Artiodactyla; Balaenopteridae
Gene: CREB1
Gene name: cAMP responsive element binding protein 1
Exons: 10
Source: RefSeq, a predicted model, not a curated record